AGAUCUUCGGAUCUAGUAGCGCACGGGUGCGUAACACGUGGGAAUCUGCCCUUUGGUUCGGAAUAACUCAGGGAAACUUGAGCUAAUACCGGAUGAUGACGUAAGUCCAAAGAUUUAUCGCCAAAGGAUGAGCCCGCGUAGGAUUAGCUAGUUGGUAGGGUAAAGGCCUACCAAGGCGACGAUCCUUAGCUGGUCUGAGAGGAUGAUCAGCCACACUGGGACUGAGACACGGCCCAGACUCCUACGGGAGGCAGCAGUGGGGAAUAUUGGACAAUGGGGGAAACCCUGAUCCAGCAAUGCCGCGUGAGCGAUGAAGGCCUUAGGGUUGUAAAGCUCUUUUACCCGGGAUGAUAAUGACAGUACCGGGAGAAUAAGCCCCGGCUAACUCCGUGCCAGCAGCCGCGGUAAUACGGAGGGGGCUAGCGUUGUUCGGAAUUACUGGGCGUAAAGCGCACGUAGGCGGCUAUUCAAGUCAGGGGUGAAAGCCCGGGGCUCAACCCCGGAAUUGCCCUUGAAACUAGAUAGCUAGAAUCAUGGAGAGGUGAGUGGAAUUCCGAGUGUAGAGGUGAAAUUCGUAGAUAUUCGGAAGAACACCAGUGGCGAAGGCGGCUCACUGGACAUGUAUUGACGCUGAGGUGCGAAAGCGUGGGGAGCAAACAGG
Molecule: ribosomal RNA, 661 nt
Filed under: uncultured Alphaproteobacteria bacterium
Lineage: Bacteria; Pseudomonadati; Pseudomonadota; Alphaproteobacteria
Description: bacterial SSU rRNA
Rfam family: Bacterial small subunit ribosomal RNA
Source: RNAcentral